Gasterosteus aculeatus aculeatus (three-spined stickleback) is the source of this 537-nucleotide long non-coding RNA. The record is from Ensembl. Lineage: Eukaryota; Metazoa; Chordata; Actinopteri; Perciformes; Gasterosteidae.
GCCAGACUUAAGGUUCGGCUCUGUAUGCAGUAAAGAGACUUCUGGUCUCCAAUUGGAGUCGUGGGUUCGAACCCCACUUCUGACAUGUCUUUACCGUUUUAUAAUCCCCUUUGGACACUAAAUUAUUUUGACUCGCUAACUUUUUCAAGGUGGCCGAACACGUUUGUCUUUCCUUUAUUUGUGUGUCAGGAUGGCCGAGUGGUCUAAGGCGCCAGACUUAAGGUUCGGCUCUGUAUGCAGUAAAGAGACUUCUGGUCUCCAAUUGGAGUCGUGGGUUCGAACCCCACUUCUGACAUGUCUUUACCGUUUUAUAAUCCACUUUGGACCCUAAAUUAUUUUGACUCGCUAACUUUUUCAAGGUGGCAGAAAACGUUUGUCUUUGCUUUAUUUGUGUGUCAGGAUGGCCGAGUGGUCUAAGGCGCCAGACUCAAGGUUCGGCUCUGUAUGCAGUAAAGAGACUUCUGGUCUCCAAUUGGAGUCGUGGGUUCGAACCCCACUUCUGACAUGUCUUUACCGUUUUAUAAUCCACUUUGGACC